CGCGGGGGCAACCCUGGCGGCGAGCGGCGGACGGGUGAGUAAUACAUCGGAACGUGUCCUAUCGUGGGGGAUAACCAGUCGAAAGACUGGCUAAUACCGCAUGAGAUCGAAAGAUGAAAGCGGGGGACCGCAAGGCCUCGCGCGAUUGGAGCGGCCGAUGUCGGAUUAGCUAGUUGGCGGGGUAAGAGCCCACCAAGGCUACGAUCCGUAGCUGGUUUGAGAGAACGACCAGCCACACUGGGACUGAGACACGGCCCAGACUCCUACGGGAGGCAGCAGUGGGGAAUUUUGGACAAUGGGGGCAACCCUGAUCCAGCCAUGCCGCGUGUGUGAAGAAGGCCUUCGGG
Molecule: ribosomal RNA, 347 nt
Filed under: uncultured bacterium
Lineage: Bacteria
Description: bacterial SSU rRNA
Rfam family: Bacterial small subunit ribosomal RNA
Source: RNAcentral